This 464-nucleotide ribosomal RNA is filed under the name uncultured bacterium. Its description in RNAcentral is "bacterial LSU rRNA". It matches the Rfam family "Bacterial large subunit ribosomal RNA", at positions 777 to 1236 of the family's 2925-position model. The record is from RNAcentral.
AACCGAUAAACGUUGAAAAGUUUCCGGAUGACCUGUGGGUAGGGGUGAAAGGCCAAUCAAACUGGGAAAUAGCUCGUACUCCCCGAAAUGCAUUUAGGUGCAGCGUUGCGGUAGAGUCAUAUAGAGGUAGAGCUACUGAUUGGACUAGGGGGCUUCACCGCCUACCAAAUCCUGACAAACUCCGAAUGCUAUAUGAUAUACGCAGCAGUGAGGGCAUGGGUGCUAAGGUCCAUGUCCGAGAGGGAAAGAACCCAGACCAUCAGCUAAGGUCCCCAAAUGUACACUAAGUUGGAUAAACGUUGUUCGGUUGCAUUGACAGCUAGGAUGUUGGCUUGGAAGCAGCCAUUCAUUUAAAGAGUGCGUAACAGCUCACUAGUCGAGCGAUCGAGCGUGGAUAAUAAGCGGGCAUUAAGUGUACUACCGAAGCUAUGGAUUCUCCGUACAUACGGAGUCUGGUAGGGGAG